AGAAAGCAUUUAUUUUUCUAUUUCAUUUUUAAUUAAUAGCUUUUGAAACACGAUUUUUUUUUCUUCAUUCAAAUUGGCUGUGGAUUAUUUUUUCUUAUUUGAUUUCUAUAUUAUUUUGUAUUCUUUUUUUCCAAAUUAAAAGAAAAAAACUUCCAAAUGAUAAAUAAAAAAGGAAAGAAAGAUUCUCAAUUUAUAUGAAAAAUAAAGAAAAAAAAACUUCCAAAUGAUAAAUAAAAAAGGAAAAAUAGAUUCUCAAUUUAUAUGAAAAAUUCGAAAUU
This 278-nucleotide long non-coding RNA is filed under the name Trifolium pratense (red clover). RNAcentral describes it as "long non-coding RNA (TPRA_LNC007572)". Lineage: Eukaryota; Viridiplantae; Streptophyta; Magnoliopsida; Fabales; Fabaceae. The record is from RNAcentral.